This 1004-nucleotide long non-coding RNA is filed under the name Medicago truncatula (barrel medic). Its description in RNAcentral is "long non-coding RNA (MTRU_LNC001623)". The record is from RNAcentral. Lineage: Eukaryota; Viridiplantae; Streptophyta; Magnoliopsida; Fabales; Fabaceae.
AAUUUCCAUUCCUUCCUCUAUUUCUCAUAUUGAAACCUGAAGCACAAUUAAGGUCCAAUCACUUGCCAUUGAUAUCGCAACUUUGGAGGGAGUUUCUACUGCAAUUGGUUCAAGGUAAAAAUUGGGGGGAACUAUUCAAAUUUCAAUCUUUUUUCUGUAAUUAAAAAUUCAACAUUAGGGUUUCAUGGGGUCUAUAUAAAGAGGGCUUUAGGAUUUGUGAUAACCACACCGCAAUUACAAUUGCAAUCUCAAUCUUUCUCAAUCCUAAGCUUUAUUCUUGCAAUUUCACUUUCAAUUUUCUGCAAUGGCUUUAACUUUUGAACCAAUUUCACAAAUUUCUUCAUCAAAACCAGCUUGGAACAUUAAGGCUAGAGUUGUUAGAUUAUGGAAAGUUUCUGAUUUCAACAGAAACACUUUACCAUUUUCUAUUGAAAUGGUGUUAAUGGAUUCUGAGGUUUUUAUUUUUCACUUACCAUUUUACAUUCAAAUUAUGAUGUUUUCUUAAAACUGUUGUUUUUGAAUAAGCUAAAUGUUAUUAGUUUUAAUUUUAUAAGCUAUCAAAAAUUAAGUUUUGUUUUAUGUUUAGUGCUAAUAUUUGUUGAGAUAUAGUUAAGGAUUAUGAGGUUCUUCUUUUUAAUUUUACAUUUUCACUAAUUUUGAACCUUAUAAGUAAUGAUUUGGUUUUACUUAUGUUGUUGAUAUAUAACAUUGUCACUCUAAAAAGGUGUGUUAUAUGUUUUGUGCUUAUAUUAUAAAGAUGAUGAUUAAAGUUAAAGAAUUAGUAAUUUUUAUAAUGAAUCAGAAAGCUAUUGUAUUAUGAAGAAUGGUGAAUGUUAGAUUAUGGUUUUAACUAUAUCUUGAAAACUAAUUCUAAAUUUUUGAACUUUAUAUAGGGGAGUAGGAUUCAUGCCUCAAUCAAAAAAACUCUAUUGUAUAAGUUUCAAUCUGAAAUUCGCGAAGGCAAAGUUUAUUCAUUUGAAAACAUGGGUGUUGCUGCUAAUGGG